Molecule: unclassified non-coding RNA, 217 nt
Filed under: uncultured Gammaproteobacteria bacterium
Lineage: Bacteria; Pseudomonadati; Pseudomonadota; Gammaproteobacteria
Description: contains 16S-23S intergenic spacer region
Rfam family: Bacterial small subunit ribosomal RNA
Source: RNAcentral
UACCCUUGACAUGUCUAGAAUCCUGAAGAGAUUUAGGAGUGCUCGAAAGAGAACUAGAACACAGGUGCUGCAUGGCCGUCGUCAGCUCGUGUCGUGAGAUGUUGGGUUAAGUCCCGCAACGAGCGCAACCCUUAUCAUUAGUUGCUACGCAAGGGCACUCUAAUGAGACUGCCGGUGACAAACCGGAGGAAGGUGGGGAUGACGUAGACCUUGGACC